Thalassophryne amazonica is the source of this 146-nucleotide long non-coding RNA. RefSeq lists it as uncharacterized. The transcript is spliced from 3 exons. The record is from RefSeq and is a predicted model, not a curated record. Lineage: Eukaryota; Metazoa; Chordata; Actinopteri; Batrachoidiformes; Batrachoididae.
AGACAGACGGAAAUAGAGAGAGAGAGAGAGAGAGAGAGAGAGAGAGGGUGCGGUUAAAAAAUGUCCGAGAAGAUUUCAUCUUCCUCCAAAGGUAAAAAUACAAACUCAUGGUUAUCCAGUGUCGCUUACAACAGACAAUCACAUUG